AUGUUUCCAUGGUGAUGUGGGCACUGUAAACACUGGGAGUCUCAGUGUUUUUGACCGUGGAUAAGAAAUGUCUUAUACUUAAGAGAUUAAAAUGUCGGCGUUAUGGAAAUUGUCAGCUCCACUGUCACCCAAAAAGGACCCCAGCCAACCUCUGGAGUUAGUGAGAUGCAUUGGGAAGGCCAUAUAUAAGACAGAUUCAGGAAUCACAGGAGCUCAUAUGGAAAAUAGCAAAUUUGCUAAAUUAACGAAAAAACAGACAAAAGGUUCAAUAAGAAGUAAGCCUGGGAAUCUCAGACCGAAUUGGUCAUACCAAAGUAUGUCUCAGCUUGCAGUCUAUCCAAGGCUGGGGACGGUGAAUGCAGAGAAAUGGUGGAGCACUGAAAUGUCAGGGUGGGAUUUGUCUGAGAGGACAAAAAGCUGCCACAGAUUUAAAUCUCCUUCAAGGAGACCCAGUCCAGCAUUCUGGGUAUGGCUUCCCACACAUCCCGGGUCACCACUGCCCGGACUCAGCAUUCCCAGGAUUCAAAGGCUAGUAGGCUGCGGAAAAGCAUGAAGCAUGAAAACUAUCAAUCCAGUAGGGGCAGCAUUGAGCCAUUAAACCGGCCAAUGCAGGGUAGAAGAAUCCCACUGAAGAGAAGGACAUUAUGUCUGAAAACUCCAAUGGCAGCGGGCCUACAUGGUCCGUGCGUAUUGCAGUGUGUUGGCUUCGCUACAGGGCGGGGUGAUGCUGAGCAGGAAAAGAGCUGCAACAGUGACAUGAACUCCCAGCAUUUCGGCAUUUUCGCAAGGGGAAGCUGCAGGAGCCGACAUGGUGGUCAGUUUGGCUCUCUCAGAAGCAAAGUUGCCCUCACAAGUAUGGGAGCUCCCAGGCAAAGUACCAUUAGCACUAUUGCCCACAGAAGAGCCUGCUGCAUUUCAGACAUGCAAGGCCUCCAUGUGGAGGAGAGAGAUUCAUCCUUAUUCAAAGGGACCAAGCCUUCUGGCUCAUCACCAGCUGGAAGCCACACAGAAAUCUCCCUGCUAAAUUCCUAAAAUGCCACAUGGGCGGAAAAAAUAUUUAGAUGCAAGGUACACAUCAGAAAAGUAAGAAUUUAGAUAAUCCAGAUAAUACUGUCGCUAUCAUGCAGCUAAUAAAGAUUAUGUGUUUUUUUAUAAUCACUUUAAUCACAUAUAUUCUGCAGUCUAUUUACAAAAUAAAAAUAUAUGUUAGUCCUAGUUCCUAUUGCAGCAUUUUCCUUUUGUUAUCCUUUGUUAAGGAACAAAUCAUUUGUAUGUAAAAUAUUUGUUUUCCUGGUUUAUCAAAAAUAAAUAAAA
Molecule: RNA transcript, 1314 nt
Organism: Brienomyrus brachyistius
Lineage: Eukaryota; Metazoa; Chordata; Actinopteri; Osteoglossiformes; Mormyridae
Exons: 9
Source: RefSeq, a predicted model, not a curated record